UGAUCGGAGCCGAGUACGGACCCCCCGCUGACAUAUGGAGCACUGCGUGUAUGGCGUUUGAGUUGGUGACUGGAGACUAUCUGUUUGAGCCUCACUCAGGAGAGGACUACACUCGAGAUGAAGAUCACAUAGCUCACGUCAUUGAGCUGUUGGGUCCCAUUCCUCCACACUUUGCCCUGUCAGGCCGAUACUCCAGAGAAUACUUCAACCGAAGAGGUA
Long non-coding RNA from Sinocyclocheilus grahami, 219 nucleotides. RefSeq lists it as uncharacterized. The record is from RefSeq and is a predicted model, not a curated record. Lineage: Eukaryota; Metazoa; Chordata; Actinopteri; Cypriniformes; Cyprinidae. The transcript is spliced from 3 exons.